Molecule: long non-coding RNA, 1079 nt
Organism: Orbicella faveolata
Lineage: Eukaryota; Metazoa; Cnidaria; Anthozoa; Scleractinia; Merulinidae
Source: RefSeq, a predicted model, not a curated record
GACGUAAAUCUGUCGAAGAAAGUAGUAUAAAACAAACGCGUUUGAAGGAGAAUAAUUCAAACAUGCGUGACAGUUCUGUUGUACAUGUCUGCUAGCUUUUGGCAAGCAACCAUCAAGGUAAGUUGUUACCUUGAUAAUCUCUUGCUUUUGGCCUAUCGUCGGUACAAGCCUACUACAUUAGUCUUACGUUAAUUUUUUUUUAAAAUAUUUUUCCCUAUGCUAAUGUAAGCGCCUCAUGAACAAGGGUAAUUAUGGUGUCUAAUCAAAACAAUCUUGAUUAAACAGUUGAUUAAAAGUUCGACGAAAGUUGUUGGCUCCGCUUGAUUCAUUGUCCCUCACAUCACUCAAUGCUCACCAGAUCGAUCUUCGGACCAGUAGUCUAGUUGGGGAACAUGGGACUUCAUUUUCAUGAAGCGUAACAUCAGGAAAUGUGACAGAAAACAAAAAGGCCGAGAGAAAUUAAUUCUUAACCACGAGAUCUAGGGGAAGGCACCGGCCAUUUCGCACUGAAGGCAAUUCGUUUUUGAACGAUGGGCAUGGACAAAAAAAUAUAUAAUGGAUCGUUGCAAAAGGGUUUCAAAUCGCCAUCCCUCUUACUUUUAUUUUGCUCUUGUAAUGAAUUUAAUUCCAGAGAGAGUAAGUUUUUCAUUUGUUCUUCCAUUCUUGAUUCCUUCCUUCCUCCAUACGCAUGCACUUACACAUUCAUUUCCUUUCGCAGAAGAAGACAGAGAUGUGAUUAUCAUCUUAGCCGCUGUAGCGCUUGGUGUCCUCGUCAUUGCGUUGUUCCUGCUCCUCAUCAGUUGUUGCUUCUUUUGGAAAAUGUUGAGAAGGGCAGAGAAUCGGAACUAUUAACAGCAAAAUAACUAUCAGCUCAAUUGAACUUUUCUGUUUUUAUAUUUCGCUGCGACAAAGCUAAGCUUGUCGUUAUUCCAAUAUCAGCUCCCUAGUAUUCUGCGGUGCUUUGGUAGAAUAUAAACGAACGAUUGCUUGUUUAGUGGAAGCAGUGUUAGCUACAUACUAAGACGAGACGAUUCAAUGGAAGAAAAAGAAGAGAAACAAUAUAUAUAUAUCCUCAAUCA